This is a long non-coding RNA of Helianthus annuus (common sunflower), 2213 nucleotides long. RefSeq lists it as uncharacterized. The transcript is spliced from 9 exons. The record is from RefSeq and is a predicted model, not a curated record. Lineage: Eukaryota; Viridiplantae; Streptophyta; Magnoliopsida; Asterales; Asteraceae.
ACAAGCUCUAUAACUCAUCACGUGAACCUUUUCAAAUUUCAAACCAUGAGCCCUUUUCAUUUUCGUUCUCUCUCUUCCUCAAAGUGGAUUUGGAUCUGUGGAUUCAAAAGGAAAAAGAAUCAUUUCGUUCUCUCUCUCCCUCAAAGUGGAUUUGGAUCUGUGGAUUCAAAAGGAAAAAGAAUCAGAGAUGUAGAGACGUGUUGUUGAUCUACAAUAUCAGAGUGGAAUCAAAAUCCUCAUCUUCAUCUUCCGACUUGAUACAGAGCCGGUGUGGGAUCUGAGUUUGUUCUUCAUCUAGGGUUUUGAGGGUUUUGAUGAUGAGAGCAAUUGGGCUUUUAGUGGGAUCUGAGUUUGUUCUUCAACAACAAUGGACACCGAUGAGAGAUUAAUGGCUUUGAAGAAGGCGUAUGCGGAUAUUAUUCUGAACAUGGAGAAAGAAGCAGCGAAGAGGAUUAUGGUGUCUGAACGGAAAGUUGUUCGGUUGGAGUACGAGCUUAAAAUUGCUAAAGAAGAUGCGGUUCAGAUGCUUAUGAGGGUUAAACAGAUGAUGGAUUGUAAGGUCUGUAGGGAUAAAAAUAAGCAGCCUCGGAUUUGGAAGGAUGUUAGUCAUGUCAAGGGGUGAGGUACGAAUCGAUAUAGGUUUCUGGAUCCAUCGAUCUAUCGAUCCUGUGUAUCAAUCUAUUUAUCAAGGUAUACUAGGUUGUUGUUAAUAUUGUGAACUUUUAUCCUUCAUCGAGAUCGAAAAAUGCAGCAACAACUACAAUCUCUAAUGGAAACUUUAAGCACAACAGAGCCACAUUAUAUUAGAUGUGUAAAGCCUAAUACUGUUUUGAAGCCGGGAAUAUUCGAAAACGACAUUGUUUUGAAUCAAUUACGAUGUGGAGGUGUGCUAGAGGACAAUUAGGAUUAGUUGUGCCGGAUAUCCAACAAAACGAGCUUUCGAUUAAUUUCUCAAACGGUUUGGAAUGUUGGCUCCAGAUGUUCUAGAUGGGUCUGAUGAGAAGUCAGAAUGUGUAGCGAUUUGUGAUAGAUUUGGACUAAGGAAUAGAGCAUCUCGGUCUGCUUGUGAAGAAGCUCUGCUAGAGGCCAGCUGUCAUGGACGAGGAGGGAAGUUUAUUGAGUUGCUUAUGGCUUCUGACCUGGUCCGGGCCAACAUUGUUGUGCAUGCUCUUGUCACCGCAUGCUGUAGAGGGUUUACAGAUGCGGUCGAUACUCUUUUGAAGGUAUCCAAUAGAUGUUGUAACGUGGGCGUGCCUGGUAAGAAGUCAAAAUCAGCUUAUGUUGAAACAAGCCAUUUGUUAGUAUCAGGCAUUACGGGUCGGGCCGGGUUGACCUGCUAACAUCCUUUUGCCAUCUAAUGAUUUGUAUAUCUAUAUGCAUAGUAUAUUAUAAAACAUACCAGCAUAUCAUUUAUGAAUGUAGGUGCAAUUUGAGACGACAACACAUGAGAUCUAGGAUGACACCAGCAAUAAUGUAGCUAACCAGUUCGUUCCUGUUCUUAGGUCCCACCGGUGUUGGGAAAACGGAGCUUGCUAAGGCUCUUGCAAGAUGAUGAAAAACUCAUGAUUAGGAUUGAUAUGUCUGAAUACAUGGAGGAACACUCUAUUCCUUUUCAGUUAGUCGUUGUCUGCUUUCAUAUGUUAGAUGAAUAGCAUUGAUUAAAAUGUGUGCGUCUAUUGAUUCUUUUUCAGUUAUGUUGGUCAUGAAGAAGGUGGUCAACUUACUGAAGCCGCUGGGGAGAGAGGCAUGAUGGUCAUUCGCAGCAUCAUAGCAACAGUCGAAGACAUGGCAGCCGCCGAUUCACCACCUAGCUCUAGCACCGACGAAUACACCUGCAGCCUUGGCCCUCGAUCUUUCAGAAAAGACUACAGUUCAAGCUCCUCGGGCCUAUAUGGAUUGCUAUGGAGGAUACCUAAGAUAUCAAUGAUGGUGAUGCAAUCUCUGUAAAGUUCUUGGAAAGAGCCAUUUGGACAUCAUACAUGGGGAUUGCGUCUCAUAACCGAAUCGUACUCUCAAGCAUUUGAAAGUGAAAAUAAUUGAAUGGAUAAGGAACUCGAACCUGAAUUUAUCAUGUUCCAUCUUAAAUCGUUAAGCUUGCUUUUUUUCUUUUCAAAUAAAAGGGCAUAACUUUCAGGUUCUGUUUGAUGCUUUGACCGUGUGCUUGCGAGCGUCCUAAGCUACGAGGAUCGAGUGGAGAUCGUCAAAAUCGAGUA